Long non-coding RNA from Epinephelus moara (kelp grouper), 1027 nucleotides. RefSeq lists it as uncharacterized. Lineage: Eukaryota; Metazoa; Chordata; Actinopteri; Perciformes; Serranidae. The record is from RefSeq and is a predicted model, not a curated record. The transcript has 3 exons.
UAAUGAUGUUACCUAAAGGAAGCAUAGAUCAGGCCUGAUCUGACAGAGUGACCAUCAGAACGGGCAUAAAUGUUGUGUAGUGUCAACCCGGCGUAACACACCUGUGAUUCAUCAGAAUAACAUGAGACAUCUGUAUGAUGAGAACCAGGAUAAAAAAUAAUCAUCAUCAUCAUCAUCAUCACACAGCUCAGUGACACCUGAUGGUAAUCUCAGUCUCGGCUGACGGUGAAUUUUUGGAGAGUGAUUUGAAUGUUCCUGUUGAUCACAGAGUGUCGUUUACAUCACACUGACAGUUUCAUCAUAUAUGAAGCUCCUCAUUCAUUCAUUCAUUCAUCGUUCUGAUGAUGUCACUCAUCAUUAACAGCCCCGCCUCUUUCACACGAACAUGCUCGUGGCUGACAUGAAAACCCAGAGCUGGCUGAACUGGUUGGAACCAGCUGUGUAGUAACUGGUUAUCAGACGGACCAUGUGACGGGUUAGUCAGACAGAUAACCACAAGGUAUCCUGGGUAAGAUGAACUGGGGUCAGAGUUCAGACCUCAGGUGACGGUCUCGUCUUGUUUCAGGGUUACUUCGGUAAAGGCAUCCUGUCCAGAGCCAGACCGGACCACAGCAUCUCUGACCAAUGGGAGCAUCAUGCAGGUCUGUUUCUACCUGUCAUCUCACAGUCCAGGUAUGAUGAGCUCCUCGGGUGGGCGGGUGCGGCUCUCUCUGCUCAGGGAUUGGAUGAAGCAGCUGUCAAUCAAACCCUGCUCAGCCUCUCUCAGCCAGUAGAAAUAGCAGAAGUGAGGAGGGAGGUGGGGGGAGGGUUGGAGGAUGGACAGAAGGAGGCGGAGCCAGGACCAGAGGGUGGAGCCUGUCCCCACACAAAGAGGCAGCGGCCGUGUUCAGAGGCGGAGCCUGAGGCGAAGAGGAGCUGCAGGUAGAGACAUGGGUUCAUCCCAAUACCAGAUUUCACAUCCACAUUUCCCUCACUUGCAUCGCUUCCUUGCAUCUUAGCUCCGCCCUCAAAGGACAAGAGGGAGAGA